This 212-nucleotide long non-coding RNA is filed under the name Struthio camelus australis. RNAcentral describes it as "lncRNA (ENSSCUG00000008648.1)". Lineage: Eukaryota; Metazoa; Chordata; Aves; Struthioniformes; Struthionidae. The record is from RNAcentral.
CUCUUCUGUGAUUCCUCAUGUAGGAAUUAAGAUGGGAGAGUGGAAAAAAAGGAGAAGCUGAGAUGGAGGAAUGGAAACCAAACAAUGUCCUCCUGGGGAAAGAGAUAAAGCCUGUCAGAUCAAAAACUUGGCAGUCCAGAAGAAGUAGUGUCCCAUUACCAGCAUCACAUCCGCUACACUGUCUGAUCCCUGCCUCAGCUUCAACCAGAUGA